GCAAGUCGAACGGAGUUCUCUUCGGAGAACUUAGUAGCGGACGGGUGAGUAACGCGUGAGAAUCUGCCUUGAGGAUGGGGACAACAGAGGGAAACCGCUGCUAAUCCCCAAUAUGCCGGAAGGUGAAAAGGAGAAAUCCGCCUUAAGAGGAGCUCGCGUCCGAUUAGCUAGUUGGUGUGGUAAAAGCAUACCAAGGCGACGAUCAGUAUCUGGUUUGAGAGGACGAUC
Molecule: ribosomal RNA, 228 nt
Filed under: uncultured bacterium
Lineage: Bacteria
Description: partial 16S ribosomal RNA
Rfam family: Bacterial small subunit ribosomal RNA
Source: RNAcentral